This 305-nucleotide ribosomal RNA is filed under the name uncultured bacterium. RNAcentral describes it as "bacterial SSU rRNA". It matches the Rfam family "Bacterial small subunit ribosomal RNA", at positions 333 to 654 of the family's 1533-position model. The record is from RNAcentral.
GAGGACCUACGGGGCGCAGCAGUGGGGAAUAUUGCGCAAUGGGGGAAACCCUGACGCAGCAACGCCGCGUGAGUGAAGAAGGCCUUCGGGUUGUAAAGCUCUUUAAUCAGGGGCGAAGAAUGACGGUACCCGAAGAAUAAGCUCCGGCUAACUACGUGCCAGCAGCCGCGGUAAUACGUAGGGAGCACGCGUUAUCCGGAUUUACUGGGUGUAAAGGGCGUGUAGGCGGGCUUGCAAGUCAGAAGUGAAAUCUGGGGGCUUAACCCCCAAACUGCUUUUGAAACUGUGGGUCUUGAGUGAUGGAG